CAGUAGCCGCGGUAAUACCGGCAGCACGAGUGAUGACCGCUAUUAUUGGGCCUAAAGCGUCCGUAGCUGGCCACGCAAGUCCGUCGGGAAAUCCGCGCGCUUAACGCGCGGGCGUCCGGUGGAAACUGUGUGGCUUGGGACCGGAAGAUCCAGAGGGUACGUCCGGGGUAGGAGUGAAAUCCCAUAAUCCUGGACGGACCACCGGUGGCGAAAGCGCUCUGGAAAGACGGAUCCGACGGUGAGGGACGAAAGCUCGGGUCACGAACCGGAUUAGAUACCCCCGUAGUCCCUGUCUCUUAUA
This 301-nucleotide ribosomal RNA is filed under the name uncultured bacterium. RNAcentral's name for it is "partial 16S ribosomal RNA". It matches the Rfam family "Archaeal small subunit ribosomal RNA", at positions 459 to 759 of the family's 1478-position model. The record is from RNAcentral.